Molecule: non-coding RNA, 933 nt
Organism: Cinara cedri
Lineage: Eukaryota; Metazoa; Arthropoda; Insecta; Hemiptera; Aphididae
Source: the annotation of a GenBank genome assembly
GGAAACGCUACUCCCGAUAAAUUAUUUCGAUUUCCUUUGAAUCUGAAUCAUUAUUUUACCUUUGCAUAUAUUUGUUCACAUUGAAAAAGUUCUGGUGUUCAUAGUAGUACUGAUUCUACGUGAUUUCGAAAUGUAUUCUAACUACUAGCAUAUAUCAUUUGCAUAUUUUAAUUACAUACAAAAUACUUAGGUAUUAGAUAUCAGAAUAUAAUCAAAGAACAUUAUAAGUAGAUAUAAGUAGAUAACUAAGCAAACUAAUAAUUGUUAACUAGAUAAAUAAAAUAAUAAUUAUAAAAAAGCAGUAUAAUAAUACAUUCUUUGCAAUGGCAUUUCUACAAGAACAAAACAAAUACAUGCGUGUCGGCAGAAACAGAUAUCAGAUGCAAUAGGCAGCUGGAUCAUAGGUCGGCAACUCUGUGUUUGAAGAAGUAGAUAACUUUAAAUAUUUGGAUACCAACCUAGGUAGUAAAAACGAUAACCAUGAAGAAUUUAAAAAAUGCAUUAUAUCGGAGGGGGGACACAUGUUUCUACACCCUCUCUGGGUUAUUGUGGUAGAAGAUACUGUCGAAGAAAUGAAAAGAGAGACUUUAAGAGUAUUAGCGAGAGCAAUGAUAAUAUACCCAUGUGAGACUCAGGGAGAUGAAAAAAAACUUGAUAUCAUAGAAAAAAAAAUCCUAGAAGGAUCUCUGAACCUAAAGAAAAUUUUUAAAUUUUUUUUUUAACAAUAUGCAUAUUGUCGAUUCAAGAAUGAUGGUGAAGGUGGAAUUGAGCGGACUGACUAAGUUUCGAAAUUAUUGCUUUUUGAUGUUCUCAUUUGUAUUAGGAUAAUAUAUGUUUUAUUAAAUAAUAAUAAUAAUUCUGUAUUGUCUACUCUCGAAUAUGAAGUGUAGCUUAUUUUCUGAAAGAAAAUUUUUUCUCUAUAGUAACUUAGGG